GCGCGAAACCUCUGCAAUAGGCGAAAGCUUGACAGGGUUACUCUGAGUGAUUUCCGUUAAGGAGAUCUUUUGGCACCUCUAAAAAUGGUGCAGAAUAAGGGGUGGGCAAGUCUGGUGUCAGCCGCCGCGGUAAUACCAGCACCCCGAGUGGUCGGGACGUUUAUUGGGCCUAAAGCAUCCGUAGCCGGUUCUACAAGUCUUCCGUUAAAUCCACCUGCUUAACAGAUGGGCUGCGGAAGAUACUAUAGAGCUAGGAGGCGGGAGAGGCAAGCGGUACUCGAUGGGUAGGGGUAAAAUCCGUUGAUCCAUUGAAGACCACCAGUGGCGAAGGCGGCUUGCCAGAACGCGCUCGACGGUGAGGGAUGAAAGCUGGGGGAGCAAACCGG
RNAcentral lists this ribosomal RNA (386 nucleotides) under uncultured bacterium. Its description in RNAcentral is "bacterial SSU rRNA". It matches the Rfam family "Archaeal small subunit ribosomal RNA", at positions 339 to 727 of the family's 1478-position model. RNAcentral also lists the same sequence under 1 other name. The record is from RNAcentral.